AGUGAACGCUGGCGGUAGGCCUAACACAUGCAAGUCGAACGGCAGCACAGUAAGAGCUUGCUCUUACGGGUGGCGAGUGGCGGACGGGUGAGGAAUACAUCGGAAUCUACUUUUUCGUGGGGGAUAACGUAGGGAAACUUACGCUAAUACCGCAUACGACCUACGGGUGAAAGCAGGGGAUCUUCGGACCUUGCGCGAUUGAAUGAGCCGAUGUCGGAUUAGUUAGUUGGCGGGGUAAAGGCCCACCAAGGCGACGAUCCGUAGCUGGUCUGCUAGGAUGAUCGGCCACCAUGGUGCUGCGACACGGUCCAGACUCCUACUGGGGGCAGCAGUGGGGAAUAUUGGACGAUGGGCGCAGGCCUGAUCCAGCCAUACCGCGUGGGGGAAGAAGGCCGUCGGGUUGUAAAGCCCUUUUGUUGGGAAAGAAAAGCAGCAGGUUAAUACCCCGCUGUUCUGACGGUACCCAAAGAAUAAGCACCGGCUAACUUCG
RNAcentral lists this ribosomal RNA (490 nucleotides) under uncultured bacterium. Its description in RNAcentral is "partial 16S ribosomal RNA". It matches the Rfam family "Bacterial small subunit ribosomal RNA", at positions 29 to 505 of the family's 1533-position model. The record is from RNAcentral.